AUUGAACGCUGGCGGCAUGCUUUACACAUGCAAGUCGAACGGUAACAGGCCGCAAGGUGCUGACGAGUGGCGGACGGGUGAGUAAUGCAUCGGAACGUGCCCAGUCGUGGGGGAUAACUACUCGAAAGAGUAGCUAAUACCGCAUACGAUCUAUGGAUGAAAGCGGGGGACCGUAAGGCCUCGCGCGAUUGGAGCGGCCGAUGUCAGAUUAGGUAGUUGGUGGGGUAAAGGCGCCCCAAGCCAACGAUCUGUAACUGGUCUGAGAGGACGACCAGCCACACUGGGACUGAGACACGGCCCAGACUCCUACGGGAGGCAGCAGUGGGGAAUUUUGGACAAUGGGCGCAAGCCUGAUCCAGCAAUGCCGCGUGCAGGAAGAAGGCCUUCGGGUUGUAAACUGCUUUUGUACGGAACGAAACGGCUCUGGUUAAUACCCGGGGAUAAUGACGGUACCGUAAGAAUAAGCACCGGCUAACUACGUG
RNAcentral lists this ribosomal RNA (482 nucleotides) under uncultured bacterium. Its description in RNAcentral is "partial 16S ribosomal RNA". It matches the Rfam family "Bacterial small subunit ribosomal RNA", at positions 30 to 507 of the family's 1533-position model. The record is from RNAcentral.